Molecule: transfer RNA, 58 nt
Filed under: Apaloderma vittatum (bar-tailed trogon)
Lineage: Eukaryota; Metazoa; Chordata; Aves; Trogoniformes; Trogonidae
Rfam family: tRNA
About the family: Transfer RNA (tRNA) molecules are approximately 80 nucleotides in length. Their secondary structure includes four short double-helical elements and three loops (D, anti-codon, and T loops). Further hydrogen bonds mediate the characteristic L-shaped molecular structure. tRNAs have two regions of fundamental functional importance: the anti-codon, which is responsible for specific mRNA codon recognition, and the 3' end, to which the tRNAs corresponding amino acid is attached (by aminoacyl-tRNA synthetases). tRNAs cope with the degeneracy of the genetic code in two manners: having more than one tRNA (with a specific anti-codon) for a particular amino acid; and 'wobble' base-pairing, i.e. permitting non-standard base-pairing at the 3rd anti-codon position.
Source: Rfam by way of RNAcentral
UAGCUCAGUCAGUUGAGCGUGGCUCUAACAGCGCCAAGGUCGCAGGUUCGAUUCCUGU